UAAUAGUUCUCAGCUGUAGCGAGGCAUCCUCAAAAACCGGCUCCUCCUCUCCGACUGCUAUUUCAAAAGUCGCAAUCAUGAACUUCUUUCAAUUCCUCAUGAAGAAGAAAGAAUGUUAACAGAUGGCAAAAUCCAGAACCUUGGGAAAAUGUGAAUCCUAGCAAGCCUCAAAAGCUUGUCACAAUUAACCAAAGAUGGGAACCUGUUGAAGAGCUGCAGGCUAUCAAAAAGUUGACCAAAUGAAGAGUUUCCUUCUAAAUCACACACUGAAUCUAAUGGAAACAUUUCUGCACAAACUAGACUAUUGAAACCAGUGUGCAAAAUUGCUUCUGCUACAUUUUUAGGAAUACAUAGGAAAUUUCCAUUUUGCCCCAAAAGUGGCAAGCUUGGCAAUAUCUGUAGUCGGUCCAAAAAAAUUCUCAUAUUUGCUGUAUUGGAAAGGUGACAAUCUAAAAUGCUGCUCUACAAUUUGAAUUUUCAUAUUCUAAAUAAGAACUUUUUGAAAUGUAAAGAUUAUUACAUACAUUCUUAUAGAGCUAUUCUUAACUUUAUUUUGGGGAUCUUUGAUUUUGUUGGGGUGUGUACAGACAUACUUUAGAGAUUGGUUCAGAAGUUCCAGACCACUGCAAUAAAA
This 634-nucleotide long non-coding RNA is filed under the name Sarcophilus harrisii (Tasmanian devil). RNAcentral's name for it is "lncRNA (ENSSHAG00000021978.1)". The stretch from base 266 to 343 matches the Rfam family "mir-147 microRNA precursor family". The record is from RNAcentral. Lineage: Eukaryota; Metazoa; Chordata; Mammalia; Dasyuromorphia; Dasyuridae.